This 350-nucleotide unclassified non-coding RNA is filed under the name uncultured fungus. Its description in RNAcentral is "partial contains small subunit ribosomal RNA, internal transcribed spacer 1, and 5.8S ribosomal RNA". The stretch from base 1 to 73 matches the Rfam family "Eukaryotic small subunit ribosomal RNA", at positions 1759 to 1831 of the family's 1831-position model. Lineage: Eukaryota; Fungi. The record is from RNAcentral.
UCAAACUUGGUCAUUUAGAGGAAGUAAAAGUCGUAACAAGGUUUCCGUAGGUGAACCUGCGGAAGGAUCAUUAUUGAAAGCAUUGUGAAGGAGGUUGAGCUGGCUUUUGCAGGUGCUUGCAUCAUAUUAUUUAUCUAUCUCUUGUGCACCUUUUGUAGUCUUUGGAGCGUUCGCAGUCGAUGCGGUAUUGGGUCUUGGGCUUUGCCCUGUUCCCUGUUAGCUUUCAAGGGCUAUGUUUUAUACACACUAGUUGAAGUUACAGAAUGUAUCUUAUUGACUUUUUGAGUCAGUAAAUCUAUACAACUUUCAGCAACGGAUCUCUUGGCUCUCCCAUCGAUGAAGAACGCAGC